Molecule: ribosomal RNA, 253 nt
Filed under: uncultured bacterium
Lineage: Bacteria
Description: partial 16S ribosomal RNA
Rfam family: Bacterial small subunit ribosomal RNA
Source: RNAcentral
CACGGGGGGAGCAAGCGUUGUUCGGAAUCACUGGGCGUAAAGGGCGUGUAGGCGGUUGGGUAAGUGGAAUGUGAAAUGCCCCGGCUCACCCGGGGACCGGCAUUCCAAACUGCUCAGCUCGAGUAUGGGAGAGGAUGAGGGAAUUCCUGGUGUAGCGGUGAAAUGCGUAGAUAUCUGGAGGAACACCGGUGGCGAAGGCGGCAUUCUGGACCGACAUUGACGCUGAGGAGCGAAAGCCAGGGGAGCAAACGGG